GUGCAAUCUGUUGACAUGAUAAAACCAUGUUUAUUGUGGUAAGGCAGAUAGAUGAUCACCUAGACAGAGUUUGGGUAAUGUCUUCUAGGGGAAAAGGCAAGGUUAGAUUUUAUUGCAAAUUGAAAGUUUGGUUUAAAGUUGCCUUCCAAUGAGGAGUCUUGAUUGGGUAAGGAUAAUGAUACAACAGUUUAGGAUUAUAAACAGUAUGAGAAGGAUUUUGAGUUGAGGGAUUUGAAGAUCUUUAGGGUGUUAACUAUCUGCUGGUGCUUCUUAUUGGAGAAGUGAAGGGUCUUUUUGAGACAUUCCUAUAAUGAACAAAUUAUCUGCCUGGACAAAAAUCUCCUGGAUUAGUAAAGGCAUGAUAAUAAAGACAGUGGGGUAACAAUUGAAAUUCUAUUAGUGUAUUGUAGAAAGUAAGGAGUGUGUGGGGCAGCUGGGUGGCCCAUUUAGUUAAUCAUCUGACUCUUGAUUUCAGCUCAGGUCAUGAUCUCAGGGUUGUGAGAUCAAGCCCUGUAUUAGGCUCUGGGCUGGGGGUGGAGCCUUGGAACCUCCUUAAGAUUCUCUCCCUCUCUCUCUCUCUCUCUAAAAAUAGUAAGUAGUAAGUAAGUAAUAUGUGUGUGCAUGUGUAUGUGUUUGGGAGAGAAGGAGGGUUAGAUAGUUCCAGUCUUCAGUUCUCAGUUUCCAAGCUAUGUACAUGAGAUAGUUUCUAUUCUCACUCUUCAUUCUUGAACUUAUUGCAUUGAUAUUGAGUACUCAUCUAUUUUAUUUAAAUAUUUCCUCCAGCCAGACUGCAACAGGACAUAAACCUGAGGAUGUUUUUUUGUGUGGGAUUCUACAACUUCAUCAUUGUUGAGUUACUAUUCUGUGCCAAGAUCCCCACCUUCUUCCCCCUCCUUCCCAAAUACACCUUUGAAUGUGUAUUGUGUCAAUGCACAGAGAUGAACCUCACAUCACUCAGAGCUGAAACACUUCAUCUGGAGACAUGUUGACAGAAAUGGCAUCUAUUCCUUUGUUGGAUUUUAGCAUACUUUGCAGCAAGGAUAGAGGACAACUUUGCAGUGAUGAGGCCUUGAUAAAAUCCUUGUUCUGGAGUUUGUUCAAAGUUCAUGGGAACAGCAUCACAAUGUAUUAUGCUUGCCAAAAUUGCUUACGUGGAAUUGAAUCACAAGGAAACAAUCAGAUUAACUCAGUAUAUGGUAUGUUCUACAAGACAGCUACCCUGGAUUCUUCAAAAAACUUGGAAAACAACAAAACAAAAAGGUCCUGCAGGGCUGGAGGUAUGUAAAUUUAGAUUAAAAAGACUAAAUAUACAUGAUAAACGAAUGCAAUGUGUGAACCUUGAAUAAGUAUGAGAGGGAGCCCUCCCUCUCAAAAAAAAAAAAGAAAAGAAAAGAAAAAGAAAAAAGCUUAACUAUAAAACAUAUUAUGGGACAAUUAGGGAUAUUUGAUUGUGGACUAUGAAUUAUAUAUUAUUGAAUUUAUGAUAAAUUUCUUGGGUAUGACAAUGGUACUAUGGCUAUGUAGGAGAAUAUUCAUUUUUUUUAGGCAAUACAGUGUAAAUAUUUAGGGGCGAGGUAUUAUCAUUUCUGCAGCUUCCUUUCAAAUGGUUCAGUAAAAAGUAUGUAAAUGAGUACAUCUGUAAGUAUAUAGGUGUAUAGAGAAAUAAAAUAUUCUUUGGAAUAUUUAGAACA
Vulpes vulpes (red fox) is the source of this 1691-nucleotide long non-coding RNA. The record is from Ensembl. NCBI's taxonomy places the organism in Eukaryota, Metazoa, Chordata, Mammalia, Carnivora, Canidae.